Molecule: ribosomal RNA, 204 nt
Filed under: uncultured soil bacterium
Lineage: Bacteria
Description: partial 16S ribosomal RNA
Rfam family: Bacterial small subunit ribosomal RNA
Source: RNAcentral
AGAACGAACGCUGGCGGCAUGCCUAAUACAUGCAAGUCGAACGAACACUUCGGUGUUCGUGGCGCACGGGUGCGUAACGCGUGGGAAUCUGCCCUUGGGUUCGGAAUAACAGUUGGAAACGACUGCUAAUACCGGAUGAUAUCGAAAGAUCAAAGAUUUAUCGCCCAGGGAUGAGCCCGCGUAGGAUUAGCUAGUUGGUGGAGG